This 369-nucleotide ribosomal RNA is filed under the name Hyalomma impressum. RNAcentral's name for it is "partial large subunit ribosomal RNA". Lineage: Eukaryota; Metazoa; Arthropoda; Arachnida; Ixodida; Ixodidae. The record is from RNAcentral.
UGGUAUUUUGACUAUACAAAGGUAUUGUAAUAAGGUUUUAAUUGAAUGCUAAGAGAAUGGAAAUUUAAAAAAAAACUUUUUUAAAAAUAAAAAUUAAAUUUUUUUUAAUUUGUGCAAAAACAAUUAUUGUUAUUAAAGACAAGAAGACCCUAAGAAUUUAAGAUUAAAAAUUAAAAAAUUUUUUAAUUUUUAAUCUUGAUUGGGGCGAUCAAAAAAUAUUAAUAACUUUUAAAAAUUUAAAUUGAUCUAUUAUUAAUAAAUAAAUGAAUUAAAUACUCUAGGGAUAACAGCGUAAUAAUUUUUGAUAGAUCUUAUUGACAAAAUAGUUUGCGACCUCGAUGUUGGAUUAGGAUUCUUUUUUAAKAAGAA